RNAcentral lists this ribosomal RNA (497 nucleotides) under uncultured bacterium. RNAcentral's name for it is "partial 16S ribosomal RNA". It matches the Rfam family "Bacterial small subunit ribosomal RNA", at positions 28 to 507 of the family's 1533-position model. The record is from RNAcentral.
GAUGAACGCUGGCGGCGUGCCUAAUACAUGCAAGUCGAGCGAACAGACGAGGAGCUUGCUCCUCUGACGUUAGCGGCUGACGGGUGAGUAACACGUGGAUAACCUACCUAUAUGACUGGGAUAACUUCGGGAAACCGGAGCUAAUACCGGAUAAUAUAUUGUACCGCAUGGUUCAUUAGUGAAUGACGGUUUUUCUGUCACUUAUAGAUGGUUCCAGGCUGCCUUAGCUAGUUGGUAAGGUAACGGCUUACCAAGGCGACGAUGCGUAGCCGACCUGAGAGGGUGAUCGGCCACACUGGAACUGAGACACGGUCCAGACUCCUACGGGAGGCAGCAGUAGGGAAUAUUCCGCAAUGGGCGAAAGCCUGACGGAGCAACGCCGCGUGAGUGAUGAAGGUCUUCGGAUCGUAAAACUCUGUUAUUAGGGAAGAAAAAAAGUGGAAGAAAAUAUGGACGUCUUGACGGUACCUAAACAGAAAGCAACGGCUAACUACGUG